GGUGAGAGUGGCGAACGGGUGAGUAACACGUAGGUAAUCUACCUUUUGGGUGGGGGGAUAGCCCAUGGAAACAUGGGGUAAUACCGCAUGAUGCCGUAAGGUUAAAGGAGCAAUUGUUCCGCCUGGGGAUGAGCCUGCGGUCCAUUAGCUAGUUGGUGAGGUAAGAGCUCUACCAAGGCGACGAUGGAUAGCCGGCCUGAGAGGGUGAACGGCCACACUGGGACUGAGACACGGCCCAG
This 239-nucleotide ribosomal RNA is filed under the name uncultured bacterium. Its description in RNAcentral is "partial 16S ribosomal RNA". It matches the Rfam family "Bacterial small subunit ribosomal RNA", at positions 88 to 334 of the family's 1533-position model. The record is from RNAcentral.